UAUUUUGACUAUACAAAGGUAUUGAAAUAAGACUUUAAUUGAGUGCUAAGAGAAUGGAAUUUCAUAAAAUUUCUUUUUUAAUUUUAAAAAUUGAAAUUAAUUUUAUAUGUGAAGAAACAAUAAUAAAAAUUAAGGACAAGAAGACCCUAAGAAUUUUAAAAAUUUCAAUAUAAUAUAAUAUUAUAUUGAAAUUUUUUAAUUGGGGCGAUUAUUAAAUAUUAAAAACUUUAAUUUUUUUAAAAAAGAACCAAUAUUAUUGGUUAUUUGAGAAAAUACUCUAGGGAUAACAGCGUAAUAAUUUUUGAUAGUUCUUAUAGACAAAAUAGUUUGCGACCUCGAUGUUGGAUUAGGAUUCUUUUUUAAUGAAGAAGUUAAAAAAAGAAGUUUGUUCAACUUUUAAAAUCCU
Molecule: ribosomal RNA, 406 nt
Filed under: Amblyomma maculatum (Gulf Coast tick)
Lineage: Eukaryota; Metazoa; Arthropoda; Arachnida; Ixodida; Ixodidae
Description: partial 16S ribosomal RNA
Source: RNAcentral